GAGGGCAUAGCUCAAUGGUAGACUGUGUGCAUAGUGUGCAUGAGGUCCUGGGUUCAAACCCCAGUACCUCUG
This 72-nucleotide transfer RNA is filed under the name Camelus bactrianus (Bactrian camel). It matches the Rfam family "tRNA". Rfam says of the family: Transfer RNA (tRNA) molecules are approximately 80 nucleotides in length. RNAcentral also lists the same sequence under 2 other names. The record is from Rfam by way of RNAcentral. Lineage: Eukaryota; Metazoa; Chordata; Mammalia; Artiodactyla; Camelidae.